UUAUGAAGAAAGAUAUGCACGUGCUAGUUCCCUAUAUAUAUAUAACGGGCAAGAUGGAGUUAUCGAUCCCGGAGGCAUAUUCCCGAAAUAAUGACAUGUAGUCCCAAAACACAAACACACACAAUAAAGCCCCGUUAUAUCUGGUGGAGGUACCCGAGUUCACAAUGUUUACUGGAUUUAUGAUGUACGCGAAAUUGGGACGAAUGUGCAAAGUCAUGGCGUGUGCAGAAAGAAGAAACAC
Molecule: long non-coding RNA, 241 nt
Filed under: Mytilus galloprovincialis (Mediterranean mussel)
Lineage: Eukaryota; Metazoa; Mollusca; Bivalvia; Mytilida; Mytilidae
Source: RNAcentral